This is a non-coding RNA of Musa acuminata subsp. malaccensis (wild Malaysian banana), 1042 nucleotides long. The record is from RefSeq and is a predicted model, not a curated record. Lineage: Eukaryota; Viridiplantae; Streptophyta; Magnoliopsida; Zingiberales; Musaceae.
AAGAAAGUUCAUCAAUAGCAGAACUUGGAAGAAUUGCAAGAAGUAAAAUGACAACAUGAGAUGAGAACGAUCUGCACUUUACCUGAAUCCAUUGCUGCCAAGCACCGGUAGUAGCCAUCAGUCCAAGUAUCAUCUCUGGGCCUAUUUGAAGCGAUUGCUGCUACGGUGACAACGCUACAAAUUGCUUUCUGCGUGUCAUUAUCCUUAACAUCGAGAUGUUCAACAAUCUUCUCUAUCAUGUUUGAGAUCUCAUAGGUGCAGUUACCACACUGAUUGAUGAAACUUGGCACAUCAAACCGUGAACAACUCGUGAUGACAGAAUCAAAUUGCUGGCCAUAAUUACUCCUAAUGGAAGCGAGACUGAGGUUUGAACAACUGCCAUUAUCUUGAUGUAACAAAUCAAAUUUACAUGAAUCUAUGGAGAGAUUAUAUUGCAUGUUAAAGCGAGAUGUGCAGUUAUCCCAUUGCUGUUUGUCGAGAAGGAUUGCUUGGGCUUGUGAGGCCGAACGAGCUAGAGCUUUUGAGAAGAAGUAUAGGACACUGCGACAGCAUUGGGUGGUUCUCACAUUGUCCCAAACCAUCACUUCAUGAUCAUCAGGGUGAACGCAUUCCCCGACCGGUUGAUAAGGGAAUGCAUCAAAGUCCAGAGUGCAAGCUGAUGUCAAGAACAACAAGUCAGUAAAGAGAACUACAGAAGCACUUGAAUUAGGCAAACAAAAGCAGGUCAGCGCAAUAGAGGAUUAAAACUACACUGUACUGCCAAAGACCUGUUGAAUUUGUUGAGCUGAGGAAGAGGGAGAGGAUUGUGAGAAGCACUGCAACAACCUUCAUCCUUGUUUAGGAAGUUGUUUCUGGAGAUGGAAUUAAAAGAGGGAAUGACGUGCAUGCUUUGAUUUAGCUGUGUCAUCGAGGGGAUCGCUAAUCCUCAUUGUUUAAUGCACAAGAUCUGUUGAUUUCUUCCCUGAAGCUUUGAUGUAAACGACUUGAUUUGGAUGUGUUUGGACUGAUACAAGAAGGUUGAAAGAGACACAUUUGGCUUCAA